RNAcentral lists this RNase P RNA (396 nucleotides) under Desulfuromonas sp. Its description in RNAcentral is "RNase P RNA component class A". It matches the Rfam family "Bacterial RNase P class A". From Rfam's summary of the family: Ribonuclease P (RNase P) is a ubiquitous endoribonuclease, found in archaea, bacteria and eukarya as well as chloroplasts and mitochondria. Its best characterised activity is the generation of mature 5'-ends of tRNAs by cleaving the 5'-leader elements of precursor-tRNAs. The record is from RNAcentral. Lineage: Bacteria; Pseudomonadati; Thermodesulfobacteriota; Desulfuromonadia; Desulfuromonadales; Desulfuromonadaceae.
GAAGAAGGCCAGAUGAUCGCCGGUCCGCCCUUCGGCGGGCGGGAGGAAAGUCCGGGCUCCACAGGGCAGGAUGGUCCUUAACGGGGACCGGGGGCGACCCCAGGGAAAGUGCCACAGAGAGUAGACCGCUUCGCCGGAGCACCGCUUGCGGUGCGAAGGUGGAGUAAGGGUGAAAGGGUGAGGUAAGAGCUCACCAGGUCCGGUGGCGACACCGGAUGCUCGGUAAACCCCAUCCGGAGCAAGGCCGAAUAGGGAAGCGUUUGAGGACGGCCCGUCCGAGGCUUCCGGGUUGGCUGCUCGAGGUUGUCGGCAACGGCAAUCCUAGAUGAAUGAUCAUCGUCCUGGUCCGGGUAACCGUGCCAGGGAACAGAACCCGGCUUACGGCCUUCUUCAGCC